This 464-nucleotide ribosomal RNA is filed under the name uncultured bacterium. Its description in RNAcentral is "bacterial SSU rRNA". It matches the Rfam family "Bacterial small subunit ribosomal RNA", at positions 64 to 524 of the family's 1533-position model. The record is from RNAcentral.
GUGCGAGGCUCUUCGGAGUCGAGCGGCGGACGGGUGAGUAACACGUGGGCAACCUGCCCGACAGAUCGGGAUAACGCUUGGAAACGAGUGCUAAUACCGGAUACGCUUUUGAGGCGCAUGCCUCGAAAGGGAAAGUUGCUUUUGCAGCACUGUCGGAUGGGCCCGCGGCGCAUUAGCUAGUUGGUGAGGUAACGGCUCACCAAGGCGACGAUGCGUAGCCGACCUGAGAGGGUGACCGGCCACACUGGGACUGAGACACGGCCCAUACUCCUACGGGAGGCAGCAGUAGGGAAUCUUCCGCAAUGGGCGCAAGCCUGACGGAGCAACGCCGCGUGAGUGAUGAAGGCCUUCGGGUUGUAAAACUCUGUCUUCUGUGAAGAACAAGCCUAUGAACAGAAUGCUUAGGCCCUGACGGUAACAGAGGAGGAAGCCCCGGCUAACUACGUGCCAGCAGCCGCGGUAAU